GAUCCUAUUGGUUUCUGCGUUAAUAAGGUUGGUUGGAUCUGAAUCCCCUAGAGGGCCGAGACAUUGAAGGUGUGGUUGAUCGGUGGGAAUGACAAUUUUAUUGGACAACUCCUGGUGAUUUUGGGGGAAUAAAAUACAAAGAAAAAGGAAAAGGAGAAUAUUCAGUAAGACGAAUCGCGGAUGAACAGGAGUAUAAAAAUACGGAAGAUGAGAUGGAGAUCUG
Molecule: long non-coding RNA, 223 nt
Filed under: Sorghum bicolor (sorghum)
Lineage: Eukaryota; Viridiplantae; Streptophyta; Magnoliopsida; Poales; Poaceae
Description: long non-coding RNA (SBIC_LNC011058)
Source: RNAcentral